GGACUACAGGGGUAUCUAAUCCCGUUCGCUCCCCUAGCUUUCGCGUCUCAGCGUCAGCAGACGUCCAGGACCUCGCUUUCGCCACGGGCGUUCCUUCCGAUCUCAACGCAUUUCACCGCUCCACCGGAAGUUCCAGGUCCCCCUACGUCCCUCCAGGCGGGCCGUUUCGGUUCCACUUCCCCGGUUGAGCCGGGGGCUUUCAGAAGCCGACGUUCCCACCCGCCUACACGCGCUUUAAGCCCAGUGAUUCCGAAUAACGUUCGCACGGUUCGUCUUACCGCGGCUGCUGGCAC
RNAcentral lists this ribosomal RNA (293 nucleotides) under uncultured Planctomycetota bacterium. RNAcentral describes it as "uncultured planctomycete partial 16S ribosomal RNA". Lineage: Bacteria; Pseudomonadati; Planctomycetota. The record is from RNAcentral.